AAAACACAGCCAAGCAUACAUUUUUUAAAGGAAGAAACCACGAUUCUAUAAGUUAAAUGAAGUAAAUAUUUACCUAAUUUUAAAAUAAGUCAUUACAAUAAUCAUGGUCUUUUUCUUUUCUGUGAAUAUUAAAAUAUAUGUCGGCCCCAUUAGAAAAAGUUUUUUAUCAAACCAGUAAGGAAGCACUUAUGUUUACAUUUUUCCUUUUUUACUUCUACACAUUAGUUUAAAAGAUAAGUUUAUGUGUAGAAUCGUAAGUUAAUUUGGUUUCUUACUCUAGGUACCAACAGGAUGGGCCGAUUAUCACUCAGGUAUUUAUAAACUUGUUCAAUUCUUUAAGAAGUAGCUACUCUAGAAAAUAUGUUGCUAUAAUUAAGCAUAUAGAUAUGUUUUUGCCACAGAUAUUUCAGAGAUGUCACUGAUCUUUCUAAAACUUCCUAUGAGUUCUCUUCGCUUAAGGAAUGUGAAUUUCUAUCAACUUAAUUUUGUUGCUGUUGGAUACCUACGCUGGUAAAAGCACAACCAGCAACCUCUUGUUUUAGCUUGAGAAUGAUUUUAAAUGCUUUUAUAAUAUUUGUUCCAUACAACUUUUACUCUUCUUAGGUUUAUAUUUGUUGCUUACAUUUUUAAAACAAAAGAACAAGUAAAAUAUUCUUUUGCAGACAGUUUCCACCAAAAAGAUGAUCUGGUGCAGUGUUCAUUUCAUGAUAGAAGAUGUUGGCACUCGUUUUUUAACAUAAUUUGUUUUAAAGGGUGUCUAUGUAAUGAACUCAUGAAUGCCUCGACUCACUCUGACGGCCUUGCAUGAAUAAAUUUCCUCAUAAUUUCUUCUAGAACGGAAAGCAAAAACAACCCCAGGAGAACUGAGAACCGCAGAGCCUCAUUGGUUGGUGAAGCGAAUUUGUCACACAUUAAUUUUUCAAAUAAGGUGCAUUUGGAAUGGGGGUUAUUAAACCUAGUAAGAGGGUUGUUAGUCCAUCUAAAAGCCCCGUUGCUUCUAUAAUAAACCAAGUAUCUAGUUUUAAAAGCAAAAGGGAAAUUGUACAAUAUCCGUCACUCAUAUAAUCUCUCCUCCCCGGUCCUUGUGUUAAAUUAGGAUAAAUUUUACUUUCAUCCCUUUCUAAGUAUAAUCUCGUUUCAGAAGGGAGGGAACGGAGAAGUUAGUUUGGUAGAUGAAACAGUCUGCUAGAAGGAAGUUGGUGAGAUUAGACAGACGUUUUUUCUUCCAUCUUACAUAUUAUUUCUCAAGCAAUUCAUACACAAUAAGGUGGGGAAAUAUAAGGUAGAUACUGUACGUACUACUAGAGAUUAAACUUUUUUAAUUAAAAAAAAAUCUCUGAGGGGUCAAGGGUGGGGAGCCACUCCUAACGGCAGGCGUGUCGCCUGGACCGCUGGACAGCGCAGCAGCUCCCACGCCCCUUGGCUGGCACGGAGGGAAGCUCUCAGAAGCCCCCAGUGAACAGAUUUACCCUUUAACUCUGACCACCUUUCUUGGCAAAAGCAUCCCAUUACCUGGUUUCGGCACCUUCGGUAAAUGAAGGGUAACCGGUGUUAAAAUGUGACAAUGCGGUCGAGUCAGCUUGAUGACAGACCUGGCUGUGCUGAGCAGCUGGCGAAUGACGCAGCAUCCCACCUAGCAGGCAGAGAGGCUCGGAGGAAGCGUGCGAAGUGGGCGGGCAGAGCCUGUAGUGUUUGAGACGUGUUGGAUGGCAGUGCUUGAGGGAAACUCGGCGUCCUUGGAGGAGGAGUGUGAUACUUUCGUGGAGAUUUUGAGGGACACCAUUCGAUGUUUCCAAGAGCUCUGACGUGAACGAUGCUCGUCUCUAUGAGUCCUGGCGGUGCCUUCUCUUUUCCUUGGCCUGUGUGUCUCCGUGACUGUUCUUUUCUCCGCUCAGAUGUCUCUUCGGCUUCUCACUGCGUAGAAAAAGGCAGCCGUGGUUUUUGAGGCAUCCUCAACUUGGUCCCGGGUUUUCCAGCCUAAUUCCCCAGUUUUACUCCAGUGAAGCCCUAGUCCUGUCAUUCUUUUUACACUUUUCCAAACGUGAUUGGCAUAUACCACCCUCCGUGUUUCUAUUUAUACUUACCUUUUCCUGGAAUGGCCUUACCUCAACAUGUCCCUGGGCUUUUCAUCCUUCAAGACCUGCUCAAAUCCUUGAUUUUUUUUUUUUUAAUA
This is a non-coding RNA of Miniopterus natalensis, 2173 nucleotides long. The record is from RefSeq and is a predicted model, not a curated record. Lineage: Eukaryota; Metazoa; Chordata; Mammalia; Chiroptera; Miniopteridae.